RNAcentral lists this ribosomal RNA (875 nucleotides) under uncultured bacterium. RNAcentral describes it as "partial 16S ribosomal RNA". It matches the Rfam family "Bacterial small subunit ribosomal RNA", at positions 104 to 909 of the family's 1533-position model. The record is from RNAcentral.
GGGUGAGUAACGCGUGGGUGACCUGCCCGGGAGACUGGGAUAACAGUUCGAAAGGGCUGCUAAUACCGGAUGAUCCCCAGCACUCAACCGAAGGAAUCAGCUGUUGUUUUAGAGGAAAGCCUUCUUUUAGGUUUGAUGAGGUUUUUUUCUAGGGUGCGGCUUGGUUUUUUGGGUUGAGUGCUGGGGCAAAGCGUUUAGCGCUCCUGGAUGGGCCCGCGUCCCAUUAGCUAGUUGGUGGGGUAAUGGCCUACCAAGGCGGCGAUGGGUAGCCGGUCUGAGAGGAUGGUCGGCCACACUGGGACUGAGACACGGCCCAGACUCCUACGGGAGGCAGCAGUGGGGAAUUUUGCGCAAUGGGGGGAACCCUGACGCAGCGACGCCGCGUGGGUGAUGAAGGCCUUCGGGUUGUAAAGCCUUGUUGGGGGGGAAGAUAAUGACGGUACCCCCUGAGGAAGCCCCGGCUAACUACGUGCCAGCAGCCGCGGUAAGACGUAGGGGGCGAGCGUUGUCCGGAAUUACUGGGCGUAAAGGGCGUGUAGGCGGCCUUUCAAGUCGGCUGUGAAAUACCCCGGCUCAACCGGGGGGGUGCAGUCGAAACUGGGGGGCUUGAGUGCAGGAGAGGAGGGUGGAAUUCCCGGUGGAGCGGUGAUAUGCGUAGAUAUCGGGAGGAACACCGGUGGCGAAGGCGACCUUCUGGCCUGUUACUGACGCUGAGGCGCGAAAGCCGGGGGAGCAAACAGGAUUAGAUACCCUGGUAGUCCCGGCCGUAAACGCUGGGUACUAGGUGUAGGGGGCUUUGAUGCCUUCUGUGCCGUAGUUAACGCAUUAAGUACCCCGCCUGGGGAGUACGGUCGCAAGACUAAAACUCAAAGAAA